AAUUCGAAGCAACGCGAACGAACCUUACCACCUUUGACAUCCUGAUCGCGGUCUUUAGAGAUAGAGACCUUCAGUUCGGCUGGAUCAGUGACCAGGUGCUGCAUGGCUGUCGUCAGCUCGUGUCGUGAGAUGUUGGGUUAAGUCCCGCAACGAGCGCAACCCUUAUCGUCUGUUGCCAUCAGGUUAUGCUGGGCACUCUGACGAGACUGCCGGUGACAAGCCGGAGGAAGGCGGGGACGACGUCAAGUCAUCAUGGCCCUUACAGUGGGGCUCAAACGUGCUACAAUGGUGGUGACAGUGGGCAGCGAGGCAGCGAUGCCAAGCAAAUCCCUAAAAGCCAUCUCAGUUCAGAUUGCACUCUGCAACUCGAGUGCAUGAAGUUGGAAUCGCUAGUAAUCGUGGAUCAGCAUGCCACGGUGAAUACGUUCCCGGGUCUU
RNAcentral lists this ribosomal RNA (437 nucleotides) under uncultured Rhodospirillales bacterium. Its description in RNAcentral is "bacterial SSU rRNA". It matches the Rfam family "Bacterial small subunit ribosomal RNA", at positions 948 to 1382 of the family's 1533-position model. The record is from RNAcentral. Lineage: Bacteria; Pseudomonadati; Pseudomonadota; Alphaproteobacteria; Rhodospirillales.